Molecule: ribosomal RNA, 252 nt
Filed under: uncultured bacterium
Lineage: Bacteria
Description: partial 16S ribosomal RNA
Rfam family: Bacterial small subunit ribosomal RNA
Source: RNAcentral
UACGUAGGGCGCAAGCGUUGUCCGGAAUUAUUGGGCGUAAAGAGCUCGUAGGCGGUCCGUCACGUCUGCCGUGAAAACCCGAGGCUUAACCUCGGGCCUGCGGUGGAUACGGCGGACUAGAGGUAGGUAGGGGAGAAUGGAAUUCCCGGUGUAGCGGUGAAAUGCGCAGAUAUCGGGAGGAACACCGGUGGCGAAGGCGGUUCCCUGGGCCUUACCUGACGCUGAGGAGCGAAAGCGUGGGGAGCGAACAGG